UCCUUGUUGCACCACAAGGUGAAUAUAGCUGCCCAUCGACGUUUCCCUGAAAUCCGGUGGGCCACUGUUCACCUAUAGUGACGCAAGGC
This is a microRNA precursor of 89 nucleotides. It matches the Rfam family "mir-BART5 microRNA precursor family".